This is a long non-coding RNA of Myzus persicae (green peach aphid), 474 nucleotides long. RefSeq lists it as uncharacterized. The transcript is spliced from 2 exons. NCBI's taxonomy places the organism in Eukaryota, Metazoa, Arthropoda, Insecta, Hemiptera, Aphididae. The record is from RefSeq and is a predicted model, not a curated record.
CUGAAAUUAAGACAUAUAUACAAGAUUUUGCAUAAUAUUUUAAAAUAUUUUAGAUUCUGAACUGAGUGAUGUGUAUAUUGAUUUUAAAAUUAUGUGUGUUUUUUUUUUGUGUCUGAGGACAAAAUUUGGAUCAGAAUUAGUGCUUCAACCUCAACAAUUAGGGGUGGUUUCGGGUAGCAAAAUGAAUGUAUAUUAUAGUUUGGGUCCACCCCACCCCUACUGUACACCAGAGCUAGUUCCCAGUUUUUAUCAUUAUAUUCCUAUAAAAAAAAAAAAUUAAUCCUCUAUCCUUUAUGGCAUUUUAAUUUUAGAUGGGCUUAUUGGGAAUGAUAGCAUAAUUGAAGUGAAAUGUCCGUAUUCGGCCAAAGACUAUCCUACAGUUGAAGAGGCUAUCAAAGAUAAAAAGAUAAAAUUCUUAAGAUUAAAUGAAUGUGGAGAAAUAUCUUUAAAAAAAGAUGAUAACUAUUACUAUCA